GACGAACGCUGGCGGCGUGCUUAGCACAUGCAAGUCGAGCGGUAAGGCCCUUUCGGGGGUACACGAGCGGCGAACGGGUGAGUAACACGUGGGUGACCUGCCCUCAGCUCUGGGAUAAGCCUGGGAAACUGGGUCUAAUACUGGAUAUGACUCCACGGUGCAUGUCGUGGGGUGAAAGCCUUGUGCGGCUGAGGAUGGGCCCGCGGCCUAUCAGCUUGUUGGUGGGGUGAUGGCCUACCAAGGCGACGACGGGUAGCCGGCCUGAGAGGGCGACCGGCCACACUGGGACUGAGACACGGCCCAGACUCCUACGGGAGGCAGCAGUGGGGAAUCUUGCGCAAUGGGCGGAAGCCUGAUCCAGCAAUGCCGCGUGUGUGAAGAAGGCC
This 386-nucleotide ribosomal RNA is filed under the name uncultured bacterium. RNAcentral's name for it is "bacterial SSU rRNA". It matches the Rfam family "Bacterial small subunit ribosomal RNA", at positions 28 to 416 of the family's 1533-position model. The record is from RNAcentral.